Molecule: ribosomal RNA, 849 nt
Filed under: marine metagenome
Description: bacterial SSU rRNA
Rfam family: Bacterial small subunit ribosomal RNA
Source: RNAcentral
CGGGAGUGGCAAGCGUUAUCCGGAAUUAUUGGGCGUAAAGCGUCCGCAGGCGGCUUUUCAAGUCUGCUGUUAAAGCGUGGAGCUUAACUCCAUCAUGGCAGUGGAAACUGAAAGGCUUGAGUAUGGUAGGGGCAGAGGGAAUUCCCGGUGUAGCGGUGAAAUGCGUAGAUAUCGGGAAGAACACCAGUGGCGAAGGCGCUCUGCUGGGCCAUUACUGACGCUCAUGGACGAAAGCCAGGGGAGCGAAAGGGAUUAGAUACCCCUGUAGUCCUGGCCGUAAACGAUGAACACUAGGUGUCGGGGGAAUCGACCCCUUCGGUGUCGUAGCUAACGCGUUAAGUGUUCCGCCUGGGGAGUACGCACGCAAGUGUGAAACUCAAAGGAAUUGACGGGGGCCCGCACAAGCGGUGGAGUAUGUGGUUUAAUUCGAUGCAACGCGAAGAACCUUACCAGGGUUUGACAUCCUGCGAACCUCUUAGAAAUUUGAGGGUGCCUUCGGGAAUGCAGUGACAGGUGGUGCAUGGCUGUCGUCAGCUCGUGUCGUGAGAUGUUGGGUUAAGUCCCGCAACGAGCGCAACCCACGUUUUUAGUUGCCAGCAUUUAGUUGGGCACUCUAGAAAGACCGCCGGUGAUAAACCGGAGGAAGGUGUGGAUGACGUCAAGUCAUCAUGCCCCUUACACCCUGGGCUACACACGUACUACAAUGCUACGGACAAAGGGCAGCAAACUCGCGAGAGCUAGCAAAUCCCAUAAACCGUGGCUCAGUUCAGAUCGUAGGCUGCAACUCGCCUACGUGAAGUAGGAAUCGCUAGUAAUCGCAGGUCAGCAUACUGCGGUGAAUACGUUCCC